AUGGGCUUGCUUGGAGAUGCACGGUGUUGUGAUCCGAGGAGUUUGCCGUAUGUGAAGACUGAUGUGACAAAUGCAAGAGCAAAGCUGCGAAGGGGCCUGUCAGAGCGUGACUUGGAGCUAACAAUCGAGUACUUUGAGAGAAGACAAGUGAAGAAUCCCAACUUCUUUUUCUCGAAGCUACAAGAAGAUGGAGCUGUUAGGGCGCUUUUCUGGGUUGAUGGGAGAACAAGGGCCCUGUAUCCAAAGUACAAAGAUUGUGUGUUUUUCGACACCACAUUCUGCACAAAUCGCUACAACUUGCCCUUUGCUCCGAUUGUUGGCAUUAACAACCACACACACACUGUUUGCUUGGGGUGUGCUUUGUUGCCUGAUGAGACCAUUGAAACUUUCAAGUGGGUCUUCCAGCAAUGGAUGUUGGCAAUGAAUAAUGAGCAUCCAUUGAACAUUAUGACUGAUCAAGACCAGGCAAUGGCUACAGCCAUCUCAAUGGUAUUUCCAGAUUCAACGCACAGAUGUUGCAAGUGGCACGUCUUCCGGGUUGCAAGGACAAAACUAGGGAGGAUGCUGGGCAAGGAUGAGCCAUUUGCAGAAGCAUUUUAUGGUUGCAUUAAUGGUUCAGAUACCGUUGAGGAGUUUGAAGAACGGUGGAAGCAGAUGGUCGAGUUGUUUGGUGUGGCUGAUAAGAAACACCUCAAAAACAUGUGGAACAGCAGGGAAACGUGGGCUCCUGUGUACUUUAGGAAUAAGUUCUUCCCAUUCACAGGAACAACUGGACGCUCCGAGGGCCUGAAUUCCUACUUCAAGACUUUAAAUCAUCAUGGAGACUCGGUUUGGACAUUUGUGAAACAGUUUGAGCUUUGCCAGGAGCUAAUGCUUGAUCAUGAAGACAAUGCGGGCUUCAUCAAUGAAGCGACGAGGCCGCCACUCUGGGGCAAGUAA
RNAcentral lists this ribosomal RNA (939 nucleotides) under Triticum aestivum (bread wheat). RNAcentral's name for it is "partial small subunit ribosomal RNA". The record is from RNAcentral. Lineage: Eukaryota; Viridiplantae; Streptophyta; Magnoliopsida; Poales; Poaceae.